AGUAACGGCGAGUGAAGCGGUAACAGCUCAAAUUUGAAAGCUAGCUCUUUUAGGGUUCGCAUUGUAAUUUGUAGAAGAUGCUUCGGGUGUGGCCCCGGUCUAAGUUCCUUGGAACAGGACGUCAUAGAGGGUGAGAAUCCCGUAUGUGACUGGGUGCUUUCGCUCAUGUGAAGCUCUUUCGACGAGUCGAGUUGUUUGGGAAUGCAGCUCAAAAUGGGUGGUAAAUUUCAUCUAAAGCUAAAUAUUGGCCAGAGACCGAUAGCGCACAAGUAGAGUGAUCGAAAGAUGAAAAGCACUUUGGAAAGAGAGUUAAACAGUACGUGAAAUUGUUGAAAGGGAAGCGCUUGCAACCAGACUUGCGCGCUGAUGAUCAUCCGGGCUUCUGCCCGGUGCACUCGUCUGCGCUCAGGCCAGCAUCGGUUUCGGUGGUGGGAUAAAGGCCUUGGGAAUGUAGCUUCUUUCGGGGAGUGUUAUAGCCCUCGGUGCAAUGCCGCCUACCGGGACCGAGGACCGCGCUUCGGCUAGGAUGCUGGCGUAAUGGUUGUAAGCGACCCGUCUUGAAACACGGACCAAGGAGUCUAACAUCUAUGCGAGUGUUUGGGUGUCAAACCCAUACGCGUAAUGAAAGUGAACGGAGGUGAGAACCCUUAAGGGUGCAUCAUCGACCGAUCCUGAUGUCUUCGGAUGGAUUUGAGUAAGAGCAUAGCUGUUGGGACCCGAAAGAUGGUGAACUAUGCGUGAAUAGGGUGAAGCCAGAGGAAACUCUGGUGGAGGCUCGCAGCGGUUCUGACGUGCAAAUCGAUCGUCAAAUUUGCGUAUAGGGGCGAAAGA
RNAcentral lists this ribosomal RNA (831 nucleotides) under Cadophora sp. RNAcentral describes it as "partial large subunit ribosomal RNA". It matches the Rfam family "Eukaryotic large subunit ribosomal RNA", at positions 82 to 930 of the family's 3401-position model. Lineage: Eukaryota; Fungi; Ascomycota; Leotiomycetes; Helotiales; Ploettnerulaceae. The record is from RNAcentral.